AACAGGUUUCAUUUAUGAGCGGCCAACAACACCAACGGGCAGUCCGUCAGUCAGUCAGUCAGCCUCCGAUUCCGAAUCCGACUUCUCCUCCAACUCCACCAUCCCCACCAUCCCCACCUCCAGCUUCCAUAGCAUUUCCAAACGCCAAACUCCACUUGGCGGCCCAGUGGUCAGCGCAAUUCAGCCCGACUGCUGCAGCCCAAGUUGGCGAUGGAGCUCGGAGUCAGUGCCAGACUAGGUAAUGUUCCCACGAAACAGGUUGUGGGUCCACCUCAGCUCAGAUCAGCUCGGCGGUCCGCGGUCCUGCAACGUCGGAACCCGGGGCAGCGGCUCGAGCUCGAGCUGAAGUGUUGCGCCUUCGUGCAUGGCCGAGAGCUAUGGGCCACCGCCACUCUGGCGUUGAACGGACUGAGCUCGGGCUCGCUUCUUUUAGUUCGAUGGGUACGUCUGCAGCAAAGGCUAUGUGCGAGCCGGGCCCAGUCGAGUAUAUGGCCAUGGGCAAGGCAAUGCAAGCCGAGCGGAGUCAGGGCUGCCUCUGCCUCUGAACUGCAUCUGAACUGGCGGGGUAGCUGCAACUGCAACUGGAAGUUGGUAGCAGCACCUGGGGCUGGGUUUUUGGCCAGGUACGCCACUCGCACUUACUGCCAAUGGCAGCGGCAAAUCAAAAUCUGUGCACAAUUAUGGCCUACACAUCUGGUCAGAAAGCCAGCCAGAUAGCCAGCUAGCCAGGUCGGAAUGGAAUGGAAUGGAUCGGCCAGCAUUGUCUGCGGCAUUUGCAGCACUCGAGUGGCCAUUAGAAGAUGUGGACGCAGACGCCUCAUGAGCUCCCAAUUAGUGUUGGAUUACAUAUUUGUAGCCCGAUCCUGCGGCAUUGUAACCAAAUUGGAACAUAUAAAUUAUGGACAAAUUCGGAAAGCCGGCAAGCCGAGCCGGAUAAAUUGAGCGCAUUAGAGCGAGAGGCUUCGUUUGGUGGAUUAUCAGAAUUAUAAGUUCAUUUAAAGCAUUCAAAUUGGAAAUUAAAUCGCAAUGAAUCAUCACAAAACGCUGUUCGAUUUAACGCCCCGGAAUUGUUGUGAAUAAACGAGAUAUUUCAUCCAUGGAAUGGCUGGCGCACAUUGUUAGCAAACAAAUUUCAUUGUGGUUACCUGGGAAACCUAUUUGUUGUGCCCAAAUAACUCCGGCGCAAUCCAUCAAAUAAGAAAGGGGCUACGAGGAGCAGCGGGUUGUCCGUCCCUCGAAUCCCUCGGAUGCCUCGAAAUCCACCGAAAAUCCCGCUGCUGGCCCAUUAAUUUAUUGUUGUUAUUACGGUGUGCUGGUAAUCAACACGUUCCUUCGAUGACCUUGCACUAUACAACCAUCGAUCGUGUGAUAAAUCGAACGGAAAUCAUUAAUAAUCAGGCAAAAUCAAAAGCGUUUCUUCGCCUAAUGAUUGGGAUCGGUGUGUUGCCCGUACCCAGAUACGAGUACUUAUGUAAAACGCCAACAGCAAUUUGAAUUAUGACGAUUUAAAUGUAGCAUCAAGACAAGAAAGGAAUCUCCGACUAUGCGAUAGAUGGAUGCCCAGCCCAUAAGCUCAGAUGCACUGAG
This is a non-coding RNA of Drosophila melanogaster (fruit fly), 1587 nucleotides long. NCBI's taxonomy places the organism in Eukaryota, Metazoa, Arthropoda, Insecta, Diptera, Drosophilidae. The record is from Ensembl.